Molecule: ribosomal RNA, 533 nt
Filed under: uncultured bacterium
Lineage: Bacteria
Description: bacterial SSU rRNA
Rfam family: Bacterial small subunit ribosomal RNA
Source: RNAcentral
AGAUAAUAGAUACCCAGGUAGUCCUGGCCGUAAACGAUGACCACCCAGAUGCAUGAAAGAUUCGACCCUUUGUGUGUCCAAGCUAACGCGCUAAGUGGUCCGCCUGGAGAGUACGGUCGCAAGAUUAAAACUCAAAGGAAUUGACGGGGACCCGCACAAGCAGCGGAGCGUGUGGUUUAAUUCGAUGCGACGCGAAGAACCUUACCAGGGUUUGACAUGGAUCCGUACCGCCUUGAAAGAGGCAUUCCCGUAAGGGACGUAUCCACAGGUGCUGCAUGGCUGUCGUCAGCUCGUGCCGUGAGGUGUUGGGUUAAGUCCCAUAACGAGCGCAACCCCUAUCGUUCAUUGUAUGUUUUGAACGAAACUGCCGCCACAAGGCGGAGGAAGGUGGGGAUGACGUCGAGUCAGCACGGCCCUUACAUCCUGGGCGACACACACGCUACAAUGGUCGGUACAGAGGGAAGCCAACCCGCGAGGGGGAGCCAAUCUCAUAAAACCGAUCUCAGUUCGGAUGGCAGGCUGCAACCCGCCUG